Molecule: ribosomal RNA, 253 nt
Filed under: uncultured bacterium
Lineage: Bacteria
Description: partial 16S ribosomal RNA
Rfam family: Bacterial small subunit ribosomal RNA
Source: RNAcentral
CACGUAGGGCGCGAGCGUUGUCCGGAAUUAUUGGGCGUAAAGAGCUCGUAGGCGGCCUGUUGCGUCCGCUGUGAAAGCCCGGGGCUUAACCCCGGGUCGGCAGUGGAUACGGGCAGGCUAGAGGUAGGUAGGGGAGAAUGGAAUUCCCGGUGUAGCGGUGAAAUGCGCAGAUAUCGGGAGGAACACCAGUGGCGAAGGCGGCUCUCUGGACCUCUGCUGACGCUGAGGCGCGAAAGCGUGGGGAGCGAUCCGG